This 468-nucleotide ribosomal RNA is filed under the name uncultured bacterium. Its description in RNAcentral is "partial 16S ribosomal RNA". It matches the Rfam family "Bacterial small subunit ribosomal RNA", at positions 28 to 507 of the family's 1533-position model. The record is from RNAcentral.
GACGAACGCUGGCGGCGUGCUUAACACAUGCAAGUCGAACGGAAAGGCCCUGCUUUUGUGGGGUGCUCGAGUGGCGAACGGGUGAGUAACACGUGAGUAACCUGCCCUUGACUUUGGGAUAACUUCAGGAAACUGGGGCUAAUACCGGAUAGGAGCUCCUGCUGCAUGGUGGGGGUUGGAAAGUUUCGGCGGUUGGGGAUGGACUCGCGGCUUAUCAGCUUGUUGGUGGGGUAGUGGUUUACCAAGGGUUUGACGGGUAGCCGGCCUGAGAGGGUGACCGGCGACAUUGGGACUGAGAGACGGACCAGACUCCUACGGGAGGCAGCAGUGGGGAAUAUUGCACAAUGGGCGGAAGCCUGAUGCAGCAACGCCGGGUGCGGGAUGACGGCCUUCGGGUUGUAAACCGCUUUCGCAUGUGACGAAGCGUGAGUGACGGUAAUGGGUAAAGAAGCACCGGCUAACUACGUG